This 117-nucleotide ribosomal RNA is filed under the name Ruminococcus sp. Lineage: Bacteria; Bacillati; Bacillota; Clostridia; Eubacteriales; Oscillospiraceae. The record is from RNAcentral.
GUCGGUGUUUAUGGCACAGAGGUCACACCCGUUCCCUUUCCGAACACGGAAGUUAAGCUCUGUCGCGAAGACGAUACUUGGCUGGCGACGGCCUGGGAAACUAUUUCAAUGCCGGCA